AUUGAACGCUGGCGGCAUGCCUUACACAUGCAAGUCGAACGGCAGCACGGGAGCAAUCCUGGUGGCGAGUGGCGAACGGGUGAGUAAUAUAUCGGAACGUGCCCAGUCGUGGGGGAUAACGCAGCGAAAGCUGUGCUAAUACCGCAUACGAUCCAUGGAUGAAAGCGGGGGACUCGCAAGAGCCUCGCGCGAUUGGAGCGGCCGAUAUCAGAUUAGGUAGUUGGUGGGGUAAAAGCUCACCAAGCCGACGAUCUGUAGCUGGUCUGAGAGGACGACCAGCCACACUGGAACUGAGACACGGUCCAGACUCCUACGGGAGGCAGCAGUGGGGAAUUUUGGACAAUGGGCGCAAGCCUGAUCCAGCAAUGCCGCGUGCAGGAUGAAGGCCUUCGGGUUGUAAACUGCUUUUGUACGGAGCGAAACGGUCUGCUUUAAUACAGUGGGCUAAUGACGGUACCGUAAGAAUAAGCACCGGCUAACUACGUGCCAGCAGCCGCGGUAAUACGUAGGGUGCGAGCGUUAAUCGGAAUUACUGGGCGUAAAGCGUGCGCAGGCGGUUAUAUAAGACAGAUGUGAAAUCCCCGGGCUCAACCUGGGACCUGCAUUUGUGACUGUAUAGCUAGAGUACGGUAGAGGGGGAUGGAAUUCCGCGUGUAGCAGUGAAAUGCGUAGAUAUGCGGAGGAACACCGAUGGCGAAGGCA
This 702-nucleotide ribosomal RNA is filed under the name Pseudomonadota bacterium. RNAcentral's name for it is "bacterial SSU rRNA". It matches the Rfam family "Bacterial small subunit ribosomal RNA", at positions 28 to 723 of the family's 1533-position model. The record is from RNAcentral. Lineage: Bacteria; Pseudomonadati; Pseudomonadota.